UCCCUGAGUUCUCCAUCCAUUGCCAGCCUCUAUCUGCCUCAAUGAGAAAGCAAUGCAGAGAAGGGUGCAGGCUUCCUGGUAAGCCUUAAGGAUGCCUGGUUCCUGUGCCUGUCUUUGUCUAAUCUUAUUCUAUAUCUGGUGACAAAUCCUCUUUCAGUUUCUCCGUCUAGACAGGGAGGAGAAAGAACUUCGUACCGUCCUUCCUUGGUGAUAAUGCGGCAGGAAACCAGGGUCUUCGGGCAAAGGGUGCCUAAAGUGAAAUGUCCAACACAACCUCCCACCCAAAAUGACAGGGAGUUGGGCAUUUUUACAAGACAUGGUCUGCAGUGAUGCUGUUCAUUGCUGUAUUCCCAGCACUGGGCCUGACACACAGUGGUGGGAGGCCUCCAGGCGCCAGAGAGAACAGGAAGGGUCUUCCCCUGGCCCCACCCCGUGCCCUCCGAUAGCUCACCUAGGCCCUGGGCCACGAUUCGCACCAGACGCU
This is a long non-coding RNA of Pteropus alecto (black flying fox), 484 nucleotides long. RefSeq lists it as uncharacterized. The transcript is spliced from 3 exons. The record is from RefSeq and is a predicted model, not a curated record. NCBI's taxonomy places the organism in Eukaryota, Metazoa, Chordata, Mammalia, Chiroptera, Pteropodidae.